This 876-nucleotide unclassified non-coding RNA is filed under the name Rhizopus stolonifer. RNAcentral's name for it is "sequence contains 18S rRNA gene, ITS1, 5.8S rRNA gene, ITS2 and 28S rRNA gene". The stretch from base 441 to 593 matches the Rfam family "5.8S ribosomal RNA". Lineage: Eukaryota; Fungi; Mucoromycota; Mucoromycetes; Mucorales; Rhizopodaceae. The record is from RNAcentral.
UUCCGCCCGUCGCUACUACCGAUUGAAUGGUUAUAGUGAGCAUAUGGGAUCAGCAGGAUUCGAUGGGCAACCAUCAUUUCUUGUUAGAGAACUAUGGCAAACUAAGCUAUUUAGAGGAAGUAAAAGUCGUAACAAGGUUUCCGUAGGUGAACCUGCGGAAGGAUCAUUACUUAUGUAAUGGGGGGAAGGGAAAAAAAAAAAAAAAAAUUUUUUUUUUUUUUUUUCCUUCAUUCAACCCAUCAUCUCUUUACUGUGAAAACAUGGCGGUUAUAUAACGGUGACCGGUAUGAGGCUAUAUGGAUAGGCCUUUACCUGGAUAUGAUCCAAGCCAAUCAUUACCAAUAUUAUGGCCUGUAAAAGGGUUAUAAAGGCGGUUAAUGGUAUCCAACAAAUAUAAUAUACCUUGAAAUUCAGUUAAUAUUAUUUUAUAAUUAUAAAACAACUUUUAACAACGGAUCUCUUGGUUCUCGCAUCGAUGAAGAACGUAGCAAAGUGCGAUAACUAGUGUGAAUUGCAUAUUCAGUGAAUCAUCGAGUCUUUGAACGCAACUUGCACUCUAUGGUUUUCCGUANAGUACGCUUGCUUCAGUAUCAUAAAGACCCCAUCCUGAUUAUUAUUUUUUUAUUAAAAUAAUUAAUUUUGGAGAUAAUAAAAAUGAGGCUCUUUCUUUUCUUUUUUUUUUUUUUUAAAAAUUUUUUUUUUUUUUUUCUCCUUUUUGUGUAGUUAAUACUCUAUUAAAUUUAUUUACUUGGUAUUAUAACGAUUAUGCAAGAAGGGAGAGAACAAAGAAUAAUGAAAGAGAGUUUUUAAAUAAAUUCUUUUUUCAUUUUUUCAAUCAAUGAUCUGAAGUCAAGUGGGAUUACCCGCUGAACUUCC